GGCGAACGCUGGCGGCGGGCCUAACACAUGCAAGUCGAGCGACGGAACAGUGCGAGCCCGGGGGCAAGGCAGCGAACUGGUGGGUGAGAGGGGGGUAACCUACACCGAUAACCUUGACAACCCGUGGAGACGCGGGCUAAUACCUGAUGUGCCCACUGGACUUCGGUUCAGUGCGUAAGGGAAUCUGCCCUCUCCGGAUCGGAUGAGCCGCGUGGCGCAUUAGUUGGUUGGGGAGGUAACGGCUAACCAAGACGGCGAUGGGUAGCUGGUCUGAGAGGAGGAUCAGCCACACUGGGACUGAGACACGGCCCAGACUCCUACGGGGGGCAGCAGUGGGGAAUAUUGGGCAAUGGGCGAAAGCGUGACGCAGCAACGCCGCGUGGGUGAAGAAGGCCUUCGGGUUGUAAACCCCUUUUAGGAGGGACGAAGGUCCGGCGGUGAAUAGCCGUCCGGACUGACGGUACCUACACAAGAAGCCCCGGCUAACUACGUG
RNAcentral lists this ribosomal RNA (493 nucleotides) under uncultured bacterium. RNAcentral describes it as "partial 16S ribosomal RNA". It matches the Rfam family "Bacterial small subunit ribosomal RNA", at positions 28 to 507 of the family's 1533-position model. The record is from RNAcentral.